UAUUGUUGUUAUAGAAAGUAAUUUAUUACACAAACCAAAGCUAGUUUACAAAUACAGUUUCCAGUUCUGUGUGUGUGUGUGUGAACAAACAAACCCAUAUUUCAUAUUUACAUUUUUCAUUCAGCUUGGUUGUCCUGUUCCUUUGCAACCCCUCCCCCACAAAAAGACCAGGAUUUUAAAAAUAACAUUAACAACUAAAAUAUAUCUAAUAAAAUGUAUUUGCACAUUAAAGUAGUCUGAAGUAUUUUUUUUCUUUUUGUCUUUUCAGUUGCUUUGGUUUAAAAAAAACAACCUAAAAACAAAUAGACUUGUAAGUCCUAGCCAUGUUUGUGGACAGGCAGCCGUGAGGGCACCUUUCUCCUGACUGGGGGAGGAUUGACAGGUUGUUACAACCAAUUGUAAAAAAAAAAACUGUGGUUACACAAAGAAGAAGAAAAGGAAGCAACACAGAAGUCAUUAUUGUCUAGUUUUCAUCUCUUAUUUCUUUAAAUACUGACAGACGAUAGGUUUAGAGCCUGUUUUUAAACAUCAGGUACAGGGUCCCCCUGCAGGACAGAGAACAGGAAGCUCCAGGACAAACACGGUCACAAUAGGGAGAAAAAAAAACCCACUUUAUUUUAACAACAGGACUUGUUUUUGGAAUGCUAAAUAAUAUUAAACAUUGAUUUUUCUCCAUAAUGUGGCCCUGACUGCACCAGUAGGUCCAGAGACGUGGAUGGCAUGAUGGAUGACGGGUUGGAUGGGAUGAUGGAUGACGGGUUGGAUGGGAUGAUGGAUGACGGGUUGGAUGGGAUGAUGGAUGACGGGUUGGAUGGGAUGAUGGAUGACGGGUUGGAUGGGAUGAUGGAUGACGGGUUGGAUGGGAUGAUGGAUGACAGGAUGUAUCCAGGGUUGGCUAUCUACGAACUUAAGUAAUUGAGAACUUAAUUGUAAUUACAUUGAAGGGGGUUGAGUAAUAAUUGAAGAUGGAAUUGUAACUGAUAAUUGUAAUUGAUCUCAACCCUGGCUGUAUCUCAGACACCAUUUAUCUCCUCUCACAAACAAGCUCUGAUUAGGGCUGGGCGAUAUAUUGAGAUUCAAAAUAUAUCAAGUUUUCUAUUUUGGUGACGUAGAAAAUUACAACCUGGCCUUUAUUGUUACAUCUUAUUUUGUUUAAAAACACUAAUUUUAGGAGUUUUCACUACUUAGAUGAUCACAUUCUAACCCAGACCAUCUAAACACGCCACACUACAGAACUCACUCACACGUGCUGUCCCUUAGAGGAGAAAAAGACUAAAGUGGAACAUAUUGUGCAGCUGUUUGUUAAUAAAUGUGUGUGUGAAUUGUCUUUCUGGUCA
This 1337-nucleotide long non-coding RNA is filed under the name Gouania willdenowi (blunt-snouted clingfish). RNAcentral's name for it is "lncRNA (ENSGWIG00000010935.1)". Lineage: Eukaryota; Metazoa; Chordata; Actinopteri; Blenniiformes; Gobiesocidae. The record is from RNAcentral.